This 153-nucleotide long non-coding RNA is filed under the name Pongo abelii (Sumatran orangutan). Its description in RNAcentral is "lncRNA (ENSPPYG00000035373.1)". The record is from RNAcentral. Lineage: Eukaryota; Metazoa; Chordata; Mammalia; Primates; Hominidae.
AUAUAAAUGAGUUCUUUGUGUACCCUCAGCAGGAACUGCAUUUUAGCUGGUUUUAAAUCUCAACAAUCACUUUCCUGCCUUGGAGAAGGUGUGAACCAGGCUGUUUAUGUAGAAUCCAGGUUAUGUGAAGUUGGCAGUUCCCAAGGGCUUUAG